UACGGAGGGGGCUAGCGUUGUUCGGAAUUACUGGGCGUAAAGCGUACGUAGGCGGCUUUGUAAGUUAGAGGUGAAAGCCCGGGGCUCAACCCCGGAAUUGCCUUUAAGACUGCAUCGCUUGAAUCGCGGAGAGGUGAGUGGAAUUCCGAGUGUAGAGGUGAAAUUCGUAGAUAUUCGGAGGAACACCAGUGGCGAAGGCGACUACCUGGCCUGUUCUUGACGCUGAGGCGCGAAAGCUAGGGGAGCAAACGGG
RNAcentral lists this ribosomal RNA (253 nucleotides) under uncultured bacterium. RNAcentral's name for it is "partial 16S ribosomal RNA". It matches the Rfam family "Bacterial small subunit ribosomal RNA", at positions 524 to 776 of the family's 1533-position model. The record is from RNAcentral.